This 566-nucleotide ribosomal RNA is filed under the name uncultured bacterium. RNAcentral's name for it is "partial 16S ribosomal RNA". It matches the Rfam family "Bacterial small subunit ribosomal RNA", at positions 355 to 914 of the family's 1533-position model. The record is from RNAcentral.
UGGGGAAUUUUGGACAAUGGGCGAAAGCCUGAUCCAGCCAUGCCGCGUGCAGGAUGAAGGCCUUCGGGUUGUAAACUGCUUUUGUAUGGAACGAAAAGACUCUGGUUAAUACCUGGGGUCCAUGACGGUACCGUAAGAAUAAGCACCGGCUAACUACGUGCCAGCAGCCGCGGUAAUACGUAGGGUGCAAGCGUUAAUCGGAAUUACUGGGCGUAAAGCGUGCGCAGGCGGUUAUAUAAGACAGAUGUGAAAUCCCCGGGCUCAACCUGGGAACUGCAUUUGUGACUGUAUAGCUAGAGUACGGCAGAGGGGGAUGGAAUUCCGCGUGUAGCAGUGAAAUGCGUAGAUAUGCGGAGGAACACCGAUGGCGAAGGCAAUCCCCUGGGCCUGUACUGACGCUCAUGCACGAAAGCGUGAGGAGCAAACAGGAUUAGAUACCCUGGUAGUCCACGCCCUAAACGAUGUCAACUGGUUGUUGGGUCUUCACUGACUCAGUAACGAAGCUAACGCGUGAAGUUGACCGCCUGGGGAGUACGGCCGCAAGGUUGAAACUCAAAUGAAUUGAC